Molecule: ribosomal RNA, 301 nt
Filed under: uncultured eukaryote
Lineage: Eukaryota
Description: SSU rRNA
Rfam family: Eukaryotic small subunit ribosomal RNA
Source: RNAcentral
CUGGUUGAUCCUGCCAGUAGUCAUAUGCUUGUCUCAAAGAUUAAGCCAUGCAUGUCUAAGUACAAGCCUCAGUAAGGUGAAACCGCGAAUGGCUCAUUAAAUCACACCUAAUCUACUGGAAAGUUACAAGUUACUUGGAUAAAUGAGGUAAUUCUUGAGCUAAUACAUGCGAAAAAUCUCGACUAACGGAGAGAUGCUUUUAUUAGAUCUAAACCAAACGGCUUCGGCAGUAACAUUGGUGACUCUGAAUAACUUUGGGCUGAUCGUAUGGCCUUGUGCCGACGACGUUUCCUUCUAAGGG